CUCUUAGCCGCAGCACAGGAGCUCUGUCUGGAGACCGAGCCCAGGAAACACAGGCUUAAGACACUAAAGCCCACUGUGAGGAUUCCAGCCACGCUGGGCCCACAUCCGGCGGGUUCUGCAACCAGCUCUGUCACUGGACUUUCCAGCAGAUUUUUGCUUCCACGAGGUGUUCAGCAAACAUGCUAAGGCGACAGAAUGUCUAGUUGGUCACGACAUGCAACGCUGACCAAUCGGUUGAUGACAGCAGCGACCACACCCACCUGAGCUACUGGUCCCACAGCACGAAGGGGGUUUGCGGGAACACGCGGAACCACACAGCGAUCAGCAACCUGAGGUAGGUCUCUUUACAGUACAAAAAACUUCUACACCAGUGUGAGACACUGAUUAGCAAGAGCUGCUUAAAGUCGCAGACUUUGGAGAGAGACAGACUGUGUGACGACUGCAGUGAGAGAGAACAGACCCACAAACUCCUGAACCCUGUCACUGAACUGUGGAGGCGUGGGACCAGGCAAAUGACAAAGUACCACUGACGAAAGCAGCAGCCGGCCCGGGGCUUUGGAGCCAGCAGGUGUGGGAGCUGGAGAGCUCUGUGCAGUGGCCAGCAUUUGGGAACCUGAGGCAGUGGGACACUCUGUGAACAGACUUGAUUCUGGUUAAGAAACAACAGCAAAAAGAGGAAGGCAGGAAAGAGACUCCCCCUGUCCAAGGAAUGUUCUGUGAUUCUCAUUCCUGACGGAGGGAGUGAAAAGGGGGCUGGGGCUCUGCCCCACUGCUCUCCUGACUGAAACAGUGAAUGACAACAGGACAGAAAGCAGGAGCCCUGAGAAUUCACGGCGCUCUGCGUGGCCUCCCGCAGCCCUGUCCACCGCCCCUCCCCACCGGGUGUGGCUGUGAGGAGGCGCAAGGGGACCACCGGAGGGCCCACUAUCGCCACACCUCUUCCUUUUGGACGCCCAGAGAACCCGGCACCGUGAAACCACCAGCUGAAGAACAGAAUGCUACCCUUCCUACAAUCUAAUAGCAAAAUCAGGUCUCUAGUACAGCAAACUGUACAAAAAUGAUAGAAAGGAAUUUGCACUGUUAUCAGGACAGUGCUUAUUUUAAUAUAAAAUAAACAGCUUACAUUUUCACUGUAAAUAUAGGCUAUGUACAGAAUUAUAUAUAGAUAUAGCUACACGUAUAAAGCUUCAUUAUAGGCCUCUGAUACAUUUAUAAUAACGGUUCCCUGAACCCUUUAGAGUGCAAUUAAGAACAAAAACUAAAUUUUGUUUACAUGAAUAUGGAAUAAAUACAAUAAUCAAAAUAGGACUCUCCCUAAAAUUGAAACACACAAGCCAAUCCUGAACUGCUGUGCGAAAGAUAAAACUGGGAAAGGCAAGGUUUCGGCAGGAGGACGCGAUGAGGGGCCCGCCCAAGGCAGGGAAUGGCAAUGCUCCAAGGAAAAGAGACGGCGGCAGGGAGAAGUUAGCCCUUGACAGCAACCUUGUUCUCCACAGCGGCAAACAUGGCAUAGAACCGGGAGCUGUCAUUGGACAGAAGGACUGAUGGGGUGUCGAACUCCACCACCUGCAAAGGAAGGAGACACAUCACUUGGGGUCACGCAAGAACCACAGCCAAGAAGGAGGUAAACCCCAAAGCCCCCUGGGGACAGAAUCACAGUGACAAUUCCAUGAAGUUCUGCCAUGCCCCAGUGGGUUCCACUUUUGGUUUUUUCUUUCUGCUAACCACAAUAUGAAGGACAGGUUAGGGACCUCCCUCACCUCACAUAAAUCUCAGAGAGAAAAAAAAUUGCAGUGCAAGUCAAGGACAUAGUAGGCAAUGUCAUCUUGUACAAACUGAUCCUAACCUAUAGACGGAAAAAGAACAGCUCCGAAUAUCCAGCUGGCAGAAUAAAAAAAGUAAGAGAUCUAGUCAGUCACUUAUCCACUCCUUUGAUGGACAUCUGUGCAGCCACAAAAAUCCUAUUGCAGCAAAAAAUGGAACAAUAUGUUGGUAUAGCCCGGCUUCCAUAAAAGAGGCAGAAAAUGUCACCUACUCACUUUCCCAGCCUUUCUUGCUACAGGGCCAAGGCCUGGGGCACAGCCUUGACCGAGGAGAAGUCUCUGGGCGCUUCUAGGAAAGGCUGCUCUGCCCGGUAGAUAUAGGCAGAGGGCAAAGUUCGCUUCCCCAGGCCUGGCUACCUGAGGCUAUGACAGCGGGUGCUACGUAGACAGCCUCGCCCUGGAGGGGGAGGGGAGGUAGGUACUGGCUGGAGGCUGAUGCAGACCCUGACCGUGCUGAGCUGCUGAAGAACCAACCAUUUGGCCUCCUGCCGUGGGCUGACGGUCUCUUGCUGUCCAAGCCUCUUCCGUUCUGCUACUGCGUGUCUGCCGCAGAGCACAUCCUAUCCAUUAGAGUCUGUGCUUAGAUAUGCAUGAAACAGGCUGGCAGGGGCAAACGGAUGUCCCCGGUGAGGGAAAGGGCUCAUUUUAUUUUUGCCUUUAUGCUUUUUUCAUGUUUUUCGGGCUGUCCUCCGAUGAUAAGGAAAUUUUACUUCACAAGAAACAAAAAUGAAGGGACGGAUAGAGUUCCUCACAGAGAGCCAAUCAAUCCCCAUUCCAAAACACUAAGCCACUCAUAGAAACAGAGUGGUCUAGAUGUGUGUCUUUAAGAAAGAAUUUCCCGGACAGUGUUCUUGGCCUCCUCCGCUUUAUACAUUCUACUUAAUACCUACGUACAGAGUAGUAGCUGCCUGUACCGAGUGUGAACUAGAAUUUCAGUAAACAUUUAGGAUAAUGCAAAGAUAGUAGCAACACCUGCCAGUGUUCACAUAAUUUCAAGAUGAGGAGAAAAACCGUGAACUCCUAUGUUUUCUCAAACUCAGCUCUGAGGCCCAGACUCCAUCUGUUGUAGUAACUGUUUUCCUCAGGACUUCUCCACAGACAGAGGGACGAGGCGGUUGGGCUGUGUAAAGCACUGGCUUUGGUGUCGCCGGCCUAGCUCAGUUCCUGCUCUCUCCCUUCCUGUGGACUAGAGAUAGGUUCAGUUCCCUGAGCCCAUGUUCUCUUCUGGAAGGCAGGGCUGACACAUCUGCAUCUUUGUUGUGUGGCGGUGAUGACUAUGCAUUGGGAGGCUGUACGUACAGCCCUUAGCGCAGUGCCGGAUGCAGCAAGCAUUCAAUGGAAGUGGCUAUUAUAGGGGCCUUAUUAUUAAUCACACAAGACAAAUCACACACUGCAAAUGGCUUGUUGUUUCUGCCAAACCACUAAUUUCCUGCCAUCCCAGGCGCACACAAAGGAGCUAUCUGUCCAACAUAAAUUUACUUAACAUCAUAAGUGACAUACUUAACAUCUACCAUGUGCAAAGAAUGUCGCAUGGGGCCCUGCCAGGGACCCAGAGACAAAUAAGGCAUGACCCCUGCCCUUACAGAGUUUACAGUCUAAUAGGGGAGAGAGGGCAUUAGCCAGUGACCCUCAAAGGAGGCAGAGGAGCUACACGACAGGUACACAAAGUUUCAGGUGGCAGAGAGUGUCAGGCUGUGGGAACUGUGCCUUUCAGAGGGAUAGGCAGGCUGCAAGCAGACAGAUAUGGGGAUGUAGCAGAGGGAACAAGAGGAAAAGGCACUGGAGGUACAUGGGACUGAGUGAGGAAAGACACGGAGGAAAGCCAGUUUAGGGGAUGCAAGUUUUUUGUUUGUUUGUUUGACAGAGACGAUAAGAGAGGGUGAGCAAACAGGGGGAGUGGGAGAGGGAGAAGCAGGCUUCCCGCCCAGCAGGGAGCCCAAUGCGGGGUUUGAUCCCAGGACCCUGGGAUCAUGACCUGAGCCAAAGGCAGACGCUUAACGACUGAGCCACCCAGGUGCCCCAAUGCAAGACUGUUUACGGCCACCGACACCUUCAAGAAGUGAGUGGCAAAGGAAGGCGGCCGGGCUGGACCAGACUGUGGGAAAGCUUGGAACAGCAGUAUAAGAAGUCUGGCACCACCACAUGAUUGUGAAAAGCCAACUCAAGGUGGCUGGACUCAGUACACCUUGGGCAAUUCCUGUGUAUGUGAGUUCAUUAGUAAGCACACGGGCUCUCUGACCUAGGUCAAAGUCUCAUUUUUACAGGCAAGAAAAAAGCAGGUCCCAAAGCAAAGUAAGAACCAGUUAAGAGUGCCCCUACUUGAUCUCUGGCUCGGGAGGACUGUAUCACUCCCACUGGCAGCCAGAUUAGAGUUACUAAGGCUGCUUAUCUGAAAGCUAACAAGCGCAGAGAAGAAGGUGCCAAUCAGCCCAAUCCUGCCAGGGGCCAGUUUCCCCCAGACAAGGCCACAUGCCACAUUAUGGUCCCUCAGGGGCUCAGUACCUGUCCCUGGGCCAGCACCAUAAUCCUAUCAGAGCCGAGGACUGUAUGUAGGCGAUGGGCAAUGGUCAGCAUGGUGCAGUCAGCAAACGCUUCUCGGAUGGUCUCUUGGAUUAGUAAGUCUGUCUCCGUGUCCAUGGCGGCUGUGGCUUCAUCAAGAAUCAGAAUCUGCCACAAAAGAGAGGAGAAAGAGAGAUCCAACCAAUUUCCUAAGCAUUCUUCUCAAUCUACAUUUCACUAAAAUGUAUUUCAUUAUUUAAGUUUUACACCAUACUCUGUUUUUCCUCAGUAGGUACAGGCCUAUGUAAAAUGACCAUCUUGCUUAGAACAGAUACAACUUUAAACCCACGUGUCUGCCUUCCUUUCCACACACAAAAGGAUAAGCAUGUAACACUGAUCUAAUAAAACGCUUGCCCCCACUUGCUCUGUGAUCCUGAGCAUGAACAGAAAUCUUUCUGGAUCUUCCUUUUCCAGUUACAAAAUAAGGGGACUGGAUUUGAUGGCCUGGAGAUCUGUAGGUCUAUGGUUUCCAAUAGUACUACGACCACUCACUGGCGAGAAACAAAAGUCACCCUUGGAAUUGAAAGACCUGGGGAAGUCUGAAAGCUCAAAAACUCCUGUAUACCCAGAUGAUGUCAAGGUGAAUUUAGAAACAUCUCUGGGGCCAGGAAAGCCUUUGGAUCUCAUGGCACGGGGAAAGGCUGUUCUUCCCCUUGCCUGCCACUCCACAGACCGCCGUACCUUACAGUGACGGAGCAAGGCUCUGGCUAUGCACAGGAGCUGCCGUUCCCCCACUGAGAAGUUAUCGCCAUUCUCCAUCACUUCAGAUUCAAGUUUCAGAGGUAGCUGAGCAAUCUAGGGAGAAAGGAAGUAGAGAUGUGAAGAGUCAAAAAAGGGUAAAUUUAGGGAGGAAAAAAACUGAACUAAAUUUUGUCCAAAGUCCAGUGGCAAAAAUAAGCUAUUCUGAAACAGAUGCAACAAUGAUUAGCCAAGAACCCGGCUCACCUAGAAAGAAGGUAUAGGGGUGAUGAUCACGUGUAUUAAGACCCUCAUUUUCCAGGACAGUCCCUGUUUCAAGUAUACUAUUCUGUUAGCCUUAUACUGUUCAAAGUUCUUAAAAUUCCAGUAUUUUCAAAUCCCCAAAUCCUGUCAGAUUGUGGCCCUAAUCUUUGGUUCUGAAAAUAUGGUCAUACCCCUAGGAAAUGGGGAAAGUGAGAUCACUCUUUCUGAUUUCCAAGGCUCUAAGUUUAUGGCUGUCAAACCUGCCUUUAUAAUAAGCUUUAAGCCUAUCCUUCCAAUGAAAUGGUUGGAGGAAGCCCAGUAUUAUAGUGAUAAAGGCAGAACUGACCUAGCUGAAUCAGGGCAGGGGAUCUCAAGCUUAAGUCAGCUCAGGGGCAUGAGAGAUCCUACCCCCGCCCCCCGGGCGGGAAGUAUCAUGGCCUUGGGAGGAUGCGUGCUGAGUUACCCUAAGAGGUCAGUGACCUCAUAUACAUGCUGCAUGCUUUCUGCAGACAUGAUACAUAUCUAGAUGCUGCAAAAGCAUGUUAUACCGUUAUGAUGAAUAAAACAGAAAUGAAUAUAAAAGCAUUAUAUUAUUCUGAGUGUUUGUCAUUAAUACCUUGGUUAAUCAAUGGGCAGCAAAAGCACAAUAUGACCACGGUUGAGAGAUACCAACUUUUAAGCCCUUUCUGAAAUGCCUGGGAAGCCUUAUCUAAAGUGAUCCCACACAGACAGCCUGGAAAUAAAGGGCCAGACCAGGCUGGACAGAGGCAGCCAGGGAAGGCUGGGGAGUGACCUCGGGACUGUUAUGGUUCCAACCUUUAAAUACCAGUGAAGCGGUCCCUUGGGGCUUUACUCACACAUUUUUUUUUUUUUUUAAGGUUUAUUUAUUUAUUUGACAGGCAGAAAUCACAAGGAGGCAGAGAGGCAGGCAGAGAGAGAGGAGGAAGCAGGCUCCCCACUGAGCAAAGAGCCCGAUGCGGGGCUCGAUCCCAGGACCCUGGGAUCAUGACCCGAGCCGAAGGCAGAGGCUUUAACCCACUGAGCCACCCAGGCACCCCUACUUACACAUUCUUUCAUGUGUGUCCUUUCUAGGGCAUCCCAGAUCUGGUCUUCAGUGUACUGGUUGAAGGGAUCCAAAUUUGACCUAGAGAGAAGCACGGGAGGAAUUUCCCAGUGAUUCAGCAUGUAGGUGACCAUACUGCAAAGGCGGUCUGUGGUAGAAAUUUAAACGCACAUGGGAAAUGGAGGGACGAAACUCCUCAAGGUCACAGACGACUGGCUCCCUAACCAGCCUUAGGCAGCAGUGACAAAUACUCCUGCCUCGCUGUCCCUGUAUCUGAGAACAGGCUGGGCCGCUCCGUCGUCUUUAUAAAACUUUAUUUCUUUUAACAUGUACUACUUUCAUUAUGUAAAUAUUGCAGAUCAGAUCAGAAAAAUUAACAAAUACAGAUACUGAAACAUAAAACCCAAACCAAUGUUUUCAUCACCUCUAAUCAGACCCUCAGCAGCAAACACUGUUAGCAUUGUGGCAUAUACAGGUUGAAAUACACCUCUCUGUGUGUACAAUUUUAGAAAAAAAGCCUCUUUCUUCCUGACUCACUAGGGUGAGAGCCUGUCAGAGCAGGCACUCGAGGGUGGCUGGAGGACCAGGAGGAGCAGCCAGUCCAGCGGAGGAGAAAGGAGGGCCUGAAGAGCAACUUAGGGGAAAGCAUUUACUGGUGCAGAAAACCAGUUUGGGUACCAUUCUUGCUCACUGUACCCACAGUAGCUAUCUCAAGAACAUCGAGGAUGGUACUGAAAGAACAGGACUCGACAUUUCUGGAAACGUGAAGAUGGGGGAAACAGCUCUUUGUCAUGGAGGAAGAAGGUGGAGAAAUGGUGGAGGAACGGGUAACUGGUGGAAACUGGGAGGUGACAUUCCUUUUGGGGCAUCUUGUCUCUGUCUAAACAUGACAUUUACAGGGCUAGUGACCUGAAAGGUAUUAGGUAUAAUCUGCUUUGCUCAUGAACUUGGUCUGCAUGUAUGGGAAACAGGAAAGUCUUCAGGAGAACUUGAGCUCCACGUCUCAUUUGUCUCCGUGUCUGGGGUUACUAACUCCAGGCAUGUAAAUGCAAGCAGGACGUUAUCCCAGAACUCCACCGAGCCCCGGUGGGCACCUGCCCCACUCAUCCCUUUGGGCCCUCUCUGGACUCUCCCAGGAGACUCUAACUGGCUCUGCUCUCUUGUGCCUCUUGCCCUUUGCACAUGGAAUAUGUGUACCUCUCCUCACCCUUUGGAUUGAGAGACUCUGGCAAAAGCAAGGGCUCUGGGGCCAGACUUGCUGAUUCCUACACAGCUCCUAUCUACGGCGACCGUGUGGCCCCGAUGACGUUAGCCUAACUUCUCUAUGCCUCCGUGCCCUCACGUGUGAGACAAAGAUCCAAAAGCACCUCCUCCAAAGGUCGGGAUGGCUGCAUUUCACGUGUAGAAAGAAUUCAGAGUGGCCCCCGCUGCAUAGUUAGCAUUGUGCACGUGGGAGCUAUGAUUACGAUGAUGUCAUUAUUGGCAUGCUGUUACUCUUUGGCCAGGAUUCCUUCUUGUCCUUCAGGUCACAAAUUAGAUGCAGAAAGCAUCUCCUGACUCUUCAAGCCUGACUUAGGUGUCCUCAUGCCCACCCUCUUUAUGGCACUUGUCACUCUGUCUGUUUGUCUCUGCCCCCAUUGCUUCAGGGUCCUUGUCUGGAUCUUCUUUGCUGUUGAAUCCCAUGCACACUGUCUAAUAUUUGUUGUCAGAAUAAAAGAACAUAGAGCCUUA
This is a long non-coding RNA of Mustela lutreola (European mink), 8118 nucleotides long. RefSeq lists it as uncharacterized. The transcript has 2 exons. Lineage: Eukaryota; Metazoa; Chordata; Mammalia; Carnivora; Mustelidae. The record is from RefSeq and is a predicted model, not a curated record.